GGAUAACCUUGCCCUUGGGUCCGGCAUAACCCCGGGAAACUGGGGAUAAUUCCGGAUAACGCACAUAUGCUGGAAUGCUUUAUGCGUCAAAUGGAUUUCGUCUGCCCAAAGGAUGGGUCUGCGGCCUAUCAGGUAGUAGUGGGUGUAAUGUACCUACUAGCCGACGACGGGUACGGGUUGUGAGAGCAAGAGCCCGGAGAUGGAUUCUGAGACAUGAAUCCAGGCCCUACGGGGCGCAGCAGGCGCGAAAACUUUACAAUGCGGGAAACCGUGAUAAGGGGACACCGAGUGCCAGCGUCAUACGCUGGCUGUCCAGGUGUGUAAAAUACACCUGUUAGCAAGGGCCGGGCAAGACCGGUGCCAGCCGCCGCGGUAACACCGGCGGCCCGAGUGGUGAUCGUGAUUAUUGGGUCUAAAGGGUCCGUAGCCGGUUUGGUCAGUCCUCCGGGAAAUCUGAUAGCUCAACUGUUAGGCUUUCGGGGGAUACUGCCAGACUUGGAACCGGGAGAGGUAAGAGGUACUACAGGGGUAGGAGUGAAAUCUUGUAAUCCCUGUGGGACCACCUGUGGCGAAGGCGUCUUACCAGAACGGGUUCGACGGUGAGGGACGAAAGCUGGGGGCACGAACCGGAUUAGAUACCCGGGUAGUCCCAGCCGUAAACGAUGCUCGCUAGGUGUCAGGCAUGGCGCGACCGUGUCUGGUGCCGCAGGGAAGCCGUGAAGCGAGCCACCUGGGAAGUACGGCCGCAAGGCUGAAACUUAA
This 762-nucleotide ribosomal RNA is filed under the name uncultured archaeon. RNAcentral's name for it is "bacterial SSU rRNA". It matches the Rfam family "Archaeal small subunit ribosomal RNA", at positions 102 to 859 of the family's 1478-position model. The record is from RNAcentral.